This 253-nucleotide ribosomal RNA is filed under the name uncultured bacterium. Its description in RNAcentral is "partial 16S ribosomal RNA". It matches the Rfam family "Bacterial small subunit ribosomal RNA", at positions 524 to 776 of the family's 1533-position model. The record is from RNAcentral.
UACGGGGGGGGCAAGCGUUGUUCGGAAUUACUGGGCGUAAAGGGCUCGUAGGUGGCCAACUAAGUCAGACGUGAAAUCCCUCGGCUUAACCGGGGAACUGCGUCUGAUACUGGAUGGCUUGAGUUCGGGAGAGGGAUGCGGAAUUCCAGGUGUAGCGGUGAAAUGCGUAGAUAUCUGGAGGAACACCGGUGGCGAAGGCGGCAUCCUGGACCGAGACUGACGCUGAGGAGCGAAAGCCAGGGGAGCAAACGGG